This 715-nucleotide long non-coding RNA is filed under the name Homo sapiens (human). RNAcentral's name for it is "long intergenic non-protein coding RNA 1582". The record is from RNAcentral. Lineage: Eukaryota; Metazoa; Chordata; Mammalia; Primates; Hominidae.
GAGAAAUAGUAAAUUCUCCUGCGGGUGGCGAAUCAGGAGGGAAGGUGGAGCCCACAAUCUUUGCAAACUCUCUGGGGAGCCAGGGGUUUUGGCAGAGUUCAAAGACUGGGAAGCAAAGUUCAGCCAUGUUGGGCCUUUGGGCUCAUAGAUGAGCAAGGGUACCCCAAUAUGAGGGCUCAGCAAAUUCUGGAACUUAUCAGUUCUGAAGACCUUUAGAGGAGAAGGAGACAAGUAAAAGGUAUGUAGUCCUGGAGGGCGCUGCUUAAUGAACCAGAAGUCCUGCCUCUUAAGUACCUCACCAGCUCAAAUGUGUGCAUGUCACCUUGGCGUGAAUCGGAGCAGGCGCUGGUGGAUACCGUUUGGAGGCAUGCCAGCAAGGAGCUCCUUGUGUAGCCUGCCUCUGGAGCCUCAAGUUCAACUUCCAUAGGGCCAAAAGGGGAGUCGGGCUGGGCAGAAGCUCCUGAGAACCAAAGCAAAUGGUCUGAGAGUCUGAGAGUGUAGUGGAGGUAACGUGUUCGUGUCCUCUCUGGCUGCAUCACCCCAAGUCCUUGCAGACUCAAGUAGCCUAUUUGCAAGUUUAAAUAGUUUGAGUCCUGGCCGGUAACAAGAAUACUCUACAGUGGCCCAGAGUCAGGGAUAUAGAGUGGCGACUACUUGGCAGAACUGGAGCUUGCUCAGAUGAAAAGAUAAAUUGUACUGGUUAAACGAAGAUCAA